Alosa sapidissima (American shad) is the source of this 381-nucleotide long non-coding RNA. RefSeq lists it as uncharacterized. The transcript has 3 exons. The record is from RefSeq and is a predicted model, not a curated record. NCBI's taxonomy places the organism in Eukaryota, Metazoa, Chordata, Actinopteri, Clupeiformes, Clupeidae.
UCCAUCCACCAGUCCUCAGUCUCUCCCGUCCGCUGGUCCUCAGCCUGACCCCACCCCAAUGACCCCUCCAUCUGCCAUUCCUCAGUGCCUCUCAGCCCUCGGUGUCUCCCCAGAGGAAUUGAUGGACGAGAUCUGGUCUGGGAAACGGCAGGGUGUGCUGUGGAGCAAGGUGGGGCCUUAUAAAAUCUUCUCCAGGGAUCUGAGCAAUCUGGCCCCAGGAAAGGAGGUUGAAAGUGAGGUGAUGAACGCUUUCAUCCAGUGCUCUUUGGAGAAGGUCAGAGGACAACUGGACAAGAAAGCCUUCUAUGUGGACUCAAAUGUGUUUUGGAAUGUGGUUCCAAAUGACUGCUGUAUGGCAAGGGUCAUACAGGGAACUAAAUA